RNAcentral lists this ribosomal RNA (365 nucleotides) under uncultured Porphyrobacter sp. Its description in RNAcentral is "bacterial SSU rRNA". It matches the Rfam family "Bacterial small subunit ribosomal RNA", at positions 1014 to 1382 of the family's 1533-position model. Lineage: Bacteria; Pseudomonadati; Pseudomonadota; Alphaproteobacteria; Sphingomonadales; Erythrobacteraceae. The record is from RNAcentral.
UUCCCUUCGGGACCUAGUGACAGGUGCUGCAUGGCUGUCGUCAGCUCGUGUCGUGAGAUGUUGGGUUAAGUCCCGCAACGAGCGCAACCCUCGUCCUUAGUUGCCAUCAUUAAGUUGGGCACUUUAAGGAAACUGCCGGUGAUAAGCCGGAGGAAGGUGGGGAUGACGUCAAGUCCUCAUGGCCCUUACAGGCUGGACUACACACGUGCUACAAUGGCAUCUACAGUGGGCAGCUAUUCCGCAAGGAUGCGCUAAUCUCCAAAAGAUGUCUCAGUUCGGAUUGUCCUCUGCAACUCGAGGGCAUGAAGGCGGAAUCGCUAGUAAUCGCGGAUCAGCAUGCCGCGGUGAAUACGUUCCCAGGCCUU